Molecule: ribosomal RNA, 425 nt
Filed under: uncultured bacterium
Lineage: Bacteria
Description: partial 16S ribosomal RNA
Rfam family: Bacterial small subunit ribosomal RNA
Source: RNAcentral
GUGGGGAAUAUUGGACAAUGGGCGCAAGCCUGAUCCAGCCAUGCCGCGUGAGUGAUGAAGGCCCUAGGGUUGUAAAGCUCUUUCACCGGUGAAGAUAAUGACGGUAACCGGAGAAGAAGCCCCGGCUAACUUCGUGCCAGCAGCCGCGGUAAUACGAAGGGGGCUAGCGUUGUUCGGAAUUACUGGGCGUAAAGCGCACGUAGGCGGACAUUUAAGUCAGGGGUGAAAUCCCGGGGCUCAACCCCGGAACUGCCUUUGAUACUGGGUGUCUGGAGUAUGGAAGAGGUAAGUGGAAUUCAGAGUGUAGAGGUGAAAUUCGUAGAUAUUCGGAGGAACACCAGUGGCGAAGGCGGCUUACUGGUCCAUUACUGACGCUGAGGUGCGAAAGCGUGGGGAGCAAACAGGAUUAGAUACCCUAGUAGUCC